AUCAAGGCCUAACUCUGUCCUGUUCCUCAAGCUAUUUAUUAAUCUUUAUUCAGCUGACACUGUGAAUGCUAAAUUGGACCAGUAACUAUACUGGACUAUUAAACAUAGCCAUAAGCCCAUCUCACUCUACAGGUUAAUCCAGCCCUCUGUUGACCUUGCAGCAAAAUUAGUUUUUUUUUCCACAAUGCACCAUCUGGCGAGGUACUGGACCAAGACCAUUUAAAUUGAACCUGACAAUUUCUUCAGUAAGACGGUGACUUGUUUGGUGAGGAGGAGUGGUGUUAACGGUGGAGUGGGGAAAGACUUUCGUGGCUGUGCAGCUAAGCUGCAGAAAGUACACACUGUCACUGUUUCACUUCCGAAGGAGAAACCACAUUUCACACACAACACCCCCUGCUCCCCUCAACUCCACCGCACAUCUCGGAUUAUUUCACUGUCUCGGGAAACUACGGUAUCAUCACAAAAACACGAAUCUUGCAAUGGAAAUUCGGUAGCACAAUUAUAGUACAGCACAGUAGCUGUAGUGCUACGCUGGCUCAGUGGUUGACUCUGCUACUUCACUGAGUGCUCGGGUCACAAAUUCAAUUCCACCCCCGGGAAGUUGCAGGUGAGGAGUUUGCACGUUCUCUCUGCGUGCCUUUUGUCCAUGUGCGCUGGCUUCCUCCCACAACACAAACAUGCACAGGAAAGAAAUAACGAAAGAAACAUUCCUGCCUUGUGAUCUAUAAGAGGACAUAUCACUGCCUGAGCCGUCACUCUAGCAACAGAGGACGCAGCCAUUCAGUUCCAGGAGCCAGCAAACAACAUCAACUUUGUGAAAUCAAGUAUAUUGAUUCUGUGUCAGCGUAAUCGUGCUCACUCAUGAUUGUUUUGCCUUCCUAGGAAAAAAGCCAACCAUGGAAAAGUCCCAGCUGUUUAUUAAGUGCCUGUCAGAAGAGAUUGUUCGUCACGAAUCUGACAAGAUUCUUUUGCCAGAGAGACAAGUCAGAGCGCCUCUUAAGGGCACAGUGUCCUCACACUAUUGCAAGUAGUGUCGUCACAAUAUUGAGAAUAUUGAUCAAUGAACAAUGACGAAAAAAAGGACUGAGAGAUUUGUGGAUUAUACGAAAAACAAUUAUUUUUCAAUUGUGUAACCGUCUUGGAAACAUUUACAACAUUAUUAAGAACAAGCUUGUGUUCACUUGAAUUUUAAAGUUGUGUUUAGAGAUGUAAGUUGGAGAUUCCAAAAAAAAAGGCCAGAUGUAACACAACACCAAGUUUCACUCCAACAGCUUUAUUUGAAACCACACGUUUUCGAUGCACUAUUCCUUUGCAUUACAGUUCAUUCCAGCUGUCAGUAAUAGUGAUGAUGACUGGGGAAUAUCAUUAUACUCCCCAUGCAGUCUCCACGGACACUGUGACCAUUCCAUUGUGUCUCCUCGCCAAUGUCAUAUUUAUUCAGGUCCUGACUCAUUAAUCCAGGGUUUUAAUGAAGAAGUUCAUUAUAAUGCCAUGCUUGGCUUUGGUCUGAAGUCAAAACAUGUACAUAUGGCUGUUUCAAAACAUAUAAACUGCAAUAUAAUGGUUGUCAGUUCAUAGAACAGAAUGGAUGCGCAAUGACUGUUGCAGUUACAAUAUUGCCUUAUUCGAGCAUUGAGAGGAAAGUCUUGACAAAUGCUUACAUUCUGUGUACGGUCAGGGCAAACGUAUCUUGUGUUAAAAAAAUAUGCGUUUUUCCAGUGGAGAAGAGUUCAGUGGACUGAAACACUUUUGAUUGUGUUAUUUUGGGGGUGUUGGGAGUCAGGUGGUUAUAACAUUGUAAACAGACAAGACAGCAUAAUCAUAUGACCUGCAAAAAGAAAACAUGCAUCAUUCUGUCUCGCUACGACUUCGCGAGGGCAAUUAAAAACAGGAGAUGAGAGCAAUUGCCAUCGAUAUCAACAUCCAAUCCAGUCCAGUUACUACAAUGACCUGAACAUGCUGUCCUGAAAGGAUUGAACUGCAAAUUAUUUUUCAGCGACUGUGAUUGAAUUCAGUCUCCAUGGAUUCGAAAUAGACCACGGAGGCUAUCUAUCCCUAUUAGUAACGGGCUUCAUUCAAUGUGUUAUCUCAUUGUUGCAGCAGGAGUAUUGUCUGGGGAGACAAGGGGAGGGGAGAUCAGAGUCUGAGAGCAAUGGACUGGAAUGUUUCAAUAAUGGACAACAGGAGCUUAUUCUUGGGUAUUUCCUAUCUUUCUUGGCAAGCAUUACCAUAACGGAAAUACGGUCUACUACUCUUAAUUCAGGCAGGUAAAUAUUCCAUCCUCACUGUUGUUGGUGUUCUUGGUAAGUCUCUCGAGAUCUAGGCAUUUAUUAAUUCCAUAUACCAGGUUAAAUUUCCAUUCUAUUCCAUGAUUUAUAUUUGGAAAAGACAAAAACUCUUGUCUUAAGCUUCUUUUACGGAUUCCAUUCAUUAUUACCGAAUUUCAGACGCCCACACUCACAAACAACUGAGAACAAGACUUUUUCCAACCUCAAAGUUCCACUUUGCUCUGAACUGAUUUCUGUCUCUGUGUUCUCUUCACCAACAGUGUUGUCCACUAACAACUCUAUAAUAUACCAAGUCCUCACCUCUGCUGAAAAAACCAUCAACGACGUCCUGAUAAAAUUCGCACUGAAUGGUUCCAGCUCUCCACUGGCCAGUCUUCGGA
Non-coding RNA from Chiloscyllium plagiosum (whitespotted bambooshark), 2668 nucleotides. Lineage: Eukaryota; Metazoa; Chordata; Chondrichthyes; Orectolobiformes; Hemiscylliidae. The record is from RefSeq and is a predicted model, not a curated record.